Hordeum vulgare subsp. vulgare (domesticated barley) is the source of this 136-nucleotide non-coding RNA. Lineage: Eukaryota; Viridiplantae; Streptophyta; Magnoliopsida; Poales; Poaceae. The record is from Rfam.
UUUAUAUUCCCUUCGUCCCAAAAUUCUUGUCUUAGAUGUGUCUAUAAAUGAAUGUAUCUAAAUACUAUGACAUGACUAGAUACAUUCAUAUCUAGACAAAUCUAANNNAAGAAUUUUGGGACGGAGAGAGUAUUUA